AGUCGAGGGGUAUAGGAAGCUUGCUUCCUAGAGACCGGCGCACGGGUGCGUAACGCGUAUGCAAUCUACCUUGUACAGGGGGAUAGCCCAGAGAAAUUUGGAUUAAUACCCCAUAGUAUUAUUGAGUGGCAUCACUUAAUUAUUAAAGUUCCAACGGUACAAGAUGAGCAUGCGUCCUAUUAGCUAGUUGGUGUGGUAACGGCACACCAAGGCUACGAUAGGUAGGGGUCCUGAGAGGGAGAUCCCCCACACUGGUACUGAGACACGGACCAGACUCCUACGGGAGGCAGCAGUGAGGAAUAUUGGACAAUGGGCGCAAGCCUGAUCCAGCCAUGCCGCGUGCAGGAAGAAGCAUCUAUGGUGUGUAAACUGCUUUUGUACGGGAAGAAACACUCCUACGUGUAGGAGCUUGACGGUACCGUAAGAAUAAGGAUCGGCUAACUCCGUGCCAGCAGCCGCGGUAAUACGGAGGAUCCAAGCGUUAUCCGGAAUCAUCGGGUUUAAAGGGUCCGUAGGCGGUCUAAUAAGUCAGUGGUGAAAGCCCAUCGCUCAACGAUGGAACGGCCAUUGAUACUGUUAGACUUGAAUUAUUGGGAAGUAACUAGAAUAUGUAGUGUAGCGGUGAAAUGCU
This 631-nucleotide ribosomal RNA is filed under the name uncultured Bacteroidota bacterium. RNAcentral describes it as "bacterial SSU rRNA". It matches the Rfam family "Bacterial small subunit ribosomal RNA", at positions 60 to 690 of the family's 1533-position model. Lineage: Bacteria; Pseudomonadati; Bacteroidota. The record is from RNAcentral.